UACGAAGGGUGCAAGCGUUGUUCGGAAUUAUUGGGCGUAAAGGGCGUGCAGGCGGUCUAUCAAGUCAGGUGUGAAAUCCCGGAGCUUAACUUCGGAACUGCGCCUGAAACUGAUAGACUCGAGUCCCAGAGGGGAUAGCGGAAUUCCAUGUGUAGAGGUGAAAUUCGUAGAGAUAUGGAGGAACACCAGUGGCGAAGGCGGCUAUCUGGAUGGUGACUGACGCUGAGACGCGAAAGCGUGGGGAUCAAACAGG
This 253-nucleotide ribosomal RNA is filed under the name uncultured bacterium. RNAcentral's name for it is "partial 16S ribosomal RNA". It matches the Rfam family "Bacterial small subunit ribosomal RNA", at positions 524 to 776 of the family's 1533-position model. The record is from RNAcentral.